RNAcentral lists this ribosomal RNA (825 nucleotides) under Pediococcus parvulus. RNAcentral describes it as "bacterial SSU rRNA". It matches the Rfam family "Bacterial small subunit ribosomal RNA", at positions 9 to 786 of the family's 1533-position model. Lineage: Bacteria; Bacillati; Bacillota; Bacilli; Lactobacillales; Lactobacillaceae. The record is from RNAcentral.
GAGUUUGAAUCCUGGCUCAGGAUGAACGCUGGCGGCGUGCCUAAUACAUGCAAGUCGAACGCACUUUCGUUGAAUGAAUUAGAGGUGCUUGCACCGAAGAUGAUUUUAGCUAUAAAGUGAGUGGCGAACGGGUGAGUAACACGUGGGUAACCUGCCCAGAAGUGGGGGAUAACACCUGGAAACAGAUGCUAAUACCGCAUAACAAAGUAAACCGCAUGGUUUACUUUUAAAAGAUGGCUUCGGCUAUCACUUCUGGAUGGACCCGCGGCGUAUUAGCUAGUUGGUGAGAUAAAGGCUCACCAAGGCAGUGAUACGUAGCCGACCUGAGAGGGUAAUCGGCCACAUUGGGACUGAGACACGGCCCAGACUCCUACGGGAGGCAGCAGUAGGGAAUCUUCCACAAUGGACGAAAGUCUGAUGGAGCAACGCCGCGUGAGUGAUGAAGGCUUUAGGGUCGUAAAACUCUGUUGUUGGAGAAGAACGUGUGUGAGAGUAACUGCUCAUGCAGUGACGGUAUCCAACCAGAAAGCCACGGCUAACUACGUGCCAGCAGCCGCGGUAAUACGUAGGUGGCAAGCGUUAUCCGGAUUUAUUGGGCGUAAAGCGAGCGCAGGCGGUCUUUUAAGUCUAAUGUGAAAGCCUUCGGCUUAACCGAAGAAGUGCAUUGGAAACUGGAAGACUUGAGUGCAGAAGAGGACAGUGGAACUCCAUGUGUAGCGGUGAAAUGCGUAGAUAUAUGGAAGAACACCAGUGGCGAAGGCGGCUGUCUGGUCUGUAACUGACGCUGAGGCUCGAAAGCAUGGGUAGCGAACAGGAUUAGAUACC